RNAcentral lists this transfer RNA (73 nucleotides) under Ailuropoda melanoleuca (giant panda). It matches the Rfam family "tRNA". Rfam says of the family: Transfer RNA (tRNA) molecules are approximately 80 nucleotides in length. Their secondary structure includes four short double-helical elements and three loops (D, anti-codon, and T loops). The record is from Rfam by way of RNAcentral. Lineage: Eukaryota; Metazoa; Chordata; Mammalia; Carnivora; Ursidae.
GCCUGGCGGGCUCAGUGGGUGGAGCAUGGGACUCUUGAUCUUGGGGUUGUGAGUUCAAGCCUCACAUUGGGUA